RNAcentral lists this transfer RNA (69 nucleotides) under Ictidomys tridecemlineatus (thirteen-lined ground squirrel). RNAcentral describes it as "Spermophilus tridecemlineatus (thirteen-lined ground squirrel) tRNA". It matches the Rfam family "tRNA". Rfam says of the family: Transfer RNA (tRNA) molecules are approximately 80 nucleotides in length. Their secondary structure includes four short double-helical elements and three loops (D, anti-codon, and T loops). The record is from Rfam by way of RNAcentral. Lineage: Eukaryota; Metazoa; Chordata; Mammalia; Rodentia; Sciuridae.
GGGGUUGUGGCUCAGAGGUAGAGCGCUUGCCUAGCAUGCAUGAGGCAUUGGGUUCGAUCCUCAGCACCA